GGUCGGUUUGCCGAGUGGCUAGGCGCUGGUCUGCAAAACCAGUUACAGCGGGUCGAAUCCGCUACCGACCU
This 71-nucleotide transfer RNA is filed under the name Bacteroidales bacterium. RNAcentral describes it as "tRNA-Cys". It matches the Rfam family "tRNA". Rfam says of the family: Transfer RNA (tRNA) molecules are approximately 80 nucleotides in length. Their secondary structure includes four short double-helical elements and three loops (D, anti-codon, and T loops). The record is from RNAcentral. Lineage: Bacteria; Pseudomonadati; Bacteroidota; Bacteroidia; Bacteroidales.